RNAcentral lists this ribosomal RNA (253 nucleotides) under uncultured bacterium. RNAcentral's name for it is "partial 16S ribosomal RNA". It matches the Rfam family "Bacterial small subunit ribosomal RNA", at positions 524 to 776 of the family's 1533-position model. The record is from RNAcentral.
UACGGAGGAUGCGAGCGUUAUCCGGAUUUAUUGGGUUUAAAGGGAGCGUAGGCGGCCUGGCAAGUCUGGUGUGAAAUACCGGGGCCCAACCCCGGGACUGCAUUGGAAACUGCCAGGCUGGAGUGUCGGAGGGGCAGGCGGAAUUCCUAGUGUAGCGGUGAAAUGCGUAGAUAUUAGGAGGAACACCGGUGGCGAAGGCGGCCUGCUGGACGACAACUGACGCUGAGGCUCGAAAGCGUGGGGAGCAAACAGG